AGGGUUUCAAGUUUGGCUUCAGA
This 23-nucleotide non-coding RNA is filed under the name Arabidopsis thaliana (thale cress). Lineage: Eukaryota; Viridiplantae; Streptophyta; Magnoliopsida; Brassicales; Brassicaceae. The record is from RNAcentral.